RNAcentral lists this ribosomal RNA (427 nucleotides) under uncultured bacterium. Its description in RNAcentral is "bacterial SSU rRNA". It matches the Rfam family "Bacterial small subunit ribosomal RNA", at positions 355 to 774 of the family's 1533-position model. The record is from RNAcentral.
UGGGGAAUUUUGGACAAUGGGCGCAAGCCUGAUCCAGCAAUGCCGCGUGCAGGAUGAAGGCCUUCGGGUUGUAAACUGCUUUUGUACGGAGCGAAAAGGUCUUCCCUAAUACGGUGGGCUCAUGACGGUACCGUAAGAGUAAGCACCGGCUAACUACGUGCCAGCAGCCGCGGUAAUACGUAGGGUGCGAGCGUUAAUCGGAAUUACUGGGCGUAAAGCGUGCGCAGGCGGUUGUGUAAGACAGAUGUGAAAUCCCCGGGCUCAACCUGGGAACUGCAUUUGUGACUGCACAGCUGGAGUGCGGCAGAGGGAGAUGGAAUUCCGCGUGUAGCAGUGAAAUGCGUAGAUAUGCGGGGGAACACCGAUGGCGAAGGCAAUCCCCUGGGCCUGCACUGACGCUCAUGCACGAAAGCGUGGGGAGCAAACA